RNAcentral lists this ribosomal RNA (462 nucleotides) under uncultured ammonia-oxidizing beta proteobacterium. RNAcentral's name for it is "bacterial SSU rRNA". It matches the Rfam family "Bacterial small subunit ribosomal RNA", at positions 202 to 647 of the family's 1533-position model. Lineage: Bacteria; Pseudomonadati; Pseudomonadota; Betaproteobacteria. The record is from RNAcentral.
AAGCAGGGGAUCGUAAGACCUUGCGCUUUUGGAGCGGCCGAUGCCUGAUUAGCUAGUUGGUGGGGUAAGGGCCUACCAAGGCGACGAUCAGUAGUUGGUCUGAGAGGACGACCAGCCACACUGGGACUGAGACACGGCCCAGACUCCUACGGGAGGCAGCAGUGGGGAAUUUUGGACAAUGGGCGAAAGCCUGAUCCAGCAAUGCCGCGUGAGUGAAGAAGGCCUUCGGGUUGUAAAGCUCUUUCAGUCGAGAAGAAAAGGUCGCGACUAAUAAUCGCGACUCAUGACGGUAUCGACAGAAGAAGCACCGGCUAACUACGUGCCAGCAGCCGCGGUAAUACGUAGGGUGCGAGCGUUAAUCGGAAUUACUGGGCGUAAAGGGUGCGCAGGCGGCUUUGUAAGUCAGAUGUGAAAUCCCCGGGCUUAACCUGGGAAUUGCGUUUGAAACUACAAAGCUAGAGU